GUCACACUAUCAUUAACUGAAUCCAUAGGUUAAUGAGGCGAACCGGGGGAACUGAAACAUCUAAGUACCCCGAGGAAAAGAAAUCAACCGAGAUUCCCCCAGUAGCGGCGAGCGAACGGGGAGGAGCCCAGAGCCUGAAUCAGCAUGUGUGUUAGUGGAAGCGUCUGGAAAGGCGCGCGAUACAGGGUGACAGCCCCGUACACAAAAGCGCAUGUGCUGUGAGCUCGAUGAGUAGGGCGGGACACGUGGUAUCCUGUCUGAAUAUGGGGGGACCAUCCUCCAAGGCUAAAUACUCCUGACUGACCGAUAGUGAACCAGUACCGUGAGGGAAAGGCGAAAAGAACCCCGGCGAGGGGAGUGAAAAAGAACCUGAAACCGU
Molecule: ribosomal RNA, 379 nt
Filed under: Salmonella enterica subsp. enterica serovar Infantis
Lineage: Bacteria; Pseudomonadati; Pseudomonadota; Gammaproteobacteria; Enterobacterales; Enterobacteriaceae
Also listed under: 2 other names
Description: partial 23S ribosomal RNA
Rfam family: Bacterial large subunit ribosomal RNA
Source: RNAcentral